RNAcentral lists this unclassified non-coding RNA (240 nucleotides) under fungal sp. Its description in RNAcentral is "partial internal transcribed spacer region". The stretch from base 1 to 46 matches the Rfam family "Eukaryotic small subunit ribosomal RNA", at positions 1786 to 1831 of the family's 1831-position model. Lineage: Eukaryota; Fungi. The record is from RNAcentral.
AAGUCGUAACAAGGUAACCGUAGGUGAACCUGCGGUUGGAUCAUUAAUAAAAGAAGGACUUUAGAGUCCCCUUUAAUACUAGUGUCUGCCUAAAAAACAGUCCUAGUUAACCCUUGUGUGAACUGUCUGGUUACUUACCCUUGUGGUAAGAACUAGUUUUUAUUAAACCCAUGUUUUUAACAAUGUCUUAUCAAAUAUAAAAAUUUGAAACAACUUUUGACAACGGAUCUCUUGGCUCUC